GACGAACGCUGGCGGCGUGCUUAACACAUGCAAGUCGAACGGAAAGGCCCUGCUUGCAGGGUACUCGAGUGGCGAACGGGUGAGUAACACGUGGGUGAUCUGCCCUGCACUUCGGGAUAAGCCUGGGAAACUGGGUCUAAUACCGGAUAGGAGCCAUUUUUAGUGUGAUGGUUGGAAAGUUUUUUCGGUGUAGGAUGAGCUCGCGGCCUAUCAGCUUGUUGGUGGGGUAAUGGCCUACCAAGGCGGCGACGGGUAGCCGGCCUGCGAGGGUGGACGGCCACAUUGGGACUGAGAGACGGCCCAGACUCCUACGGGAGGCAGCAGUGGGGAAUAUUGCACAAUGGGCGCAAGCCUGAUGCAGCGACGCCGCGGGGGGGAUGACGGCCUUCGGGUUGUAAACUCCUUUCGCUAGGGACGAAGCUUUUUGUGACGGUACCUAGAUAAGAAGCACCGGCUAACUACGUG
This 465-nucleotide ribosomal RNA is filed under the name uncultured bacterium. RNAcentral describes it as "partial 16S ribosomal RNA". It matches the Rfam family "Bacterial small subunit ribosomal RNA", at positions 28 to 507 of the family's 1533-position model. The record is from RNAcentral.